This 466-nucleotide ribosomal RNA is filed under the name uncultured bacterium. RNAcentral's name for it is "bacterial SSU rRNA". It matches the Rfam family "Bacterial small subunit ribosomal RNA", at positions 330 to 793 of the family's 1533-position model. The record is from RNAcentral.
GCCAGACUCCUACGGGAGGCAGCAGUGAGGAAUAUUGGUCAAUGGGCGGGAGCCUGAACCAGCCAAGUCGCGUGAGGGAAGACGGUCCUACGGAUUGUAAACCUCUUUUGCCGGGGAGCAACGGGGUCCUUGCGAGGGCCCGAUGAGAGUACCCGGAGAAAAAGCAUCGGCUAACUCCGUGCCAGCAGCCGCGGUAAUACGGAGGAUGCGAGCGUUAUCCGGAUUUAUUGGGUUUAAAGGGUGCGCAGGCGGAAGAUCAAGUCAGCGGUAAAAUUGAGAGGCUCAACCUCUUCGAGCCGUUGAAACUGGUUUUCUUGAGUGAGCGAGAAGUAUGCGGAAUGCGUGGUGUAGCGGUGAAAUGCAUAGAUAUCACGCAGAACUCCGAUUGCGAAGGCAGCGUACCGGCGCUCAACUGACGCUCAUGCACGAAAGUGUGGGUAUCGAACAGGAUUAGAUACCCUGGUAC